CACGCAUACAUACGGUAUACAUACUCAAUGAGAGCGAUGCUCCAUCCAUCCUGAAACAUAAGACAUCGAAGGGUUCAAAAUUUGUACGCAAAUAUAAAGUACCCUAGAAUGUUUUAAAAACUAAUUAUUUCUGACCAGCUAUGAAAUCAGCAAAAUAACAACUAAACAAAAUAUUAAAUAGUGGUACAUGCGUAUUUUAUUCUCUCUUUUAAUUUAUCUUAGAAUUGCUAGAAUACCUUACAUUACAUGACGAAGGAAGUAGAACCACAUGAAAGCAAGCGUGGUCUCCUGAUGGAAACCUGCGAUCGAUCCCACUCUGCUUUCUAAUUAUUAAUUAACGUUAACGUCUGAAUCAUUCCGGGUCUUUCAGAAAAUAAAGCUGCUAAUAAUAUACGCAUGGCUAGCUAGCUUUUGGUCAACAAAUUGCAAUAAAGCGUGAAAAUAACAGAAUAAACGACUUAUCGGGUAGGGUACGGCAUUUCUUAUAACCUACCUAGUAUUAAUUUGAUGUCGGGUGUCCUGAAAGCAACCCAUGUAUUUACUACUCUACUUGCCGAUGUAUCUAUAUGCUCAAGGAAACUACUGAUUCACACAUUCCAACACCACACAUAGAAGGAACAUACAUACCUCUUGAGGCAUACCAAAGCCAAACUGUUUCUAGCAUAUCUCAUGAGAGAAAAAUCUACGUAACAGACUAACAGCAGUUGGGCAUUAUCAGAAUGACCAGGCAAAUAUGCUGCCAUGCUUUCGACACAUUGUCUGUACAACAAAUAAAUUGUGCUGCCUUCAUUACACAUUCUUUUUGGUCUAGCAAGGAACUCCAAUCCCUUUCCUCACGUCAUUCAGCACAAAUGUGGCUUGCUUGAAUGCGAAUGUAAACAACCAACUCAGGUAAUCUCUCUAUCGAUCAAUGGGGCUCAGUAGGUUGGGUCCCAGUAGUUGAGGCCAGAGACACCAAUGUCGCCUCCUACUCCAGCAGGCAGUUACAAACUCCACUCGGCACUUCAACAGGCACCAAAAGCGUCCCAUCAUAUAUGCUUCUUCCCCCUCGAAAUUAUCACAAAAAAUGGAAGUACUUGAUGCAUAUCGAUUGACUGACCAGCAACAAUGUUCUCAGCAGAGCAUCCUUGCUUCUAGACUGCUCGCUUGCUGC
RNAcentral lists this long non-coding RNA (1153 nucleotides) under Panicum hallii. RNAcentral's name for it is "long non-coding RNA (PHAL_LNC000755)". The record is from RNAcentral. Lineage: Eukaryota; Viridiplantae; Streptophyta; Magnoliopsida; Poales; Poaceae.